Molecule: ribosomal RNA, 893 nt
Filed under: Ectophoma multirostrata
Lineage: Eukaryota; Fungi; Ascomycota; Dothideomycetes; Pleosporales; Didymellaceae
Description: partial large subunit ribosomal RNA
Rfam family: Eukaryotic large subunit ribosomal RNA
Source: RNAcentral
UUUUCAUAAUAGCGGAGGAAAGAAACCAACAGGGAUUGCCCUAGUAACGGCGAGUGAAGCGGCAACAGCUCAAAUUUGAAAUCUGGCGUCUUCGGCGUCCGAGUUGUAAUUUGCAGAGGGCGCUUUGGCAUUGGCAGCGGUCCAAGUUCCUUGGAACAGGACGUCACAGAGGGUGAGAAUCCCGUACGUGGUCGCUAGCCUUUACCGUGUAAAGCCCCUUCGACGAGUCGAGUUGUUUGGGAAUGCAGCUCUAAAUGGGAGGUAAAUUUCUUCUAAAGCUAAAUACUGGCCAGAGACCGAUAGCGCACAAGUAGAGUGAUCGAAAGAUGAAAAGCACUUUGGAAAGAGAGUUAAAAAGCACGUGAAAUUGUUGAAAGGGAAGCGCUUGCAGCCAGACUUGCCUGUAGUUGCUCAUCCGGGUUUCUACCCGGUGCACUCUUCUAUAGGCAGGCCAGCAUCAGUUUGGGCGGUUGGAUAAAGGUCUCUGUCAUGUACCUCCUUUCGGGGAGAACUUAUAGGGGAGACGACAUGCAACCAGCCCGGACUGAGGUCCGCGCAUCUGCUAGGAUGCUGGCGUAAUGGCUGUAAGCGGCCCGUCUUGAAACACGGACCAAGGAGUCUAACAUCUAUGCGAGUGUUUGGGUGUCAAGCCCGAACGCGUAAUGAAAGUGAACGGAGGUGGGAACCUUUCGGGGUGCACCAUCGACCGAUCCUGAUGUCUUCGGAUGGAUUUGAGUAAGAGCAUAGCUGUUGGGACCCGAAAGAUGGUGAACUAUGCUUGAAUAGGGUGAAGCCAGAGGAAACUCUGGUGGAGGCUCGCAGCGGUUCUGACGUGCAAAUCGAUCGUCAAAUUUGGGCAUAGGGGCGAAAGACUAAUCGAACUUAUUGAGUUC